RNAcentral lists this ribosomal RNA (497 nucleotides) under uncultured bacterium. Its description in RNAcentral is "partial 16S ribosomal RNA". It matches the Rfam family "Bacterial small subunit ribosomal RNA", at positions 28 to 507 of the family's 1533-position model. The record is from RNAcentral.
GAUGAACGCUGGCGGCGUGCCUAAUACAUGCAAGUCGAGCGAACGGACGAGAAGCUUGCUUCUCUGAUGUUAGCGGCGGACGGGUGAGUAACACGUGGAUAACCUACCUAUAAGACUGGGAUAACUUCGGGAAACCGGAGCUAAUACCGGAUAAUAUUUUGAACCGCAUGGUUCAAAAGUGAAAGAAGGUCUUGCUGUCACUUAUAGAUGGAUCCGCGCUGCAUUAGCUAGUUGGUAAGGUAACGGCUUACCAAGGCAACGAUGCAUAGCCGACCUGAGAGGGGGAUCGGCCACACUGGAACUGAGACACGGUCCAGACUCCUACGGGAGGCAGCAGUAGGGAAUCUUCCGCAAUGGGCGAAAGCCUGACGGAGCAACGCCGCGUGAGUGAUGAAGGUCUUCGGAUCGUAAAACUCUGUUAUUAGGGAAGAACAUAUGUGUAAGUAACUGUGCACAUCUUGACGGUACCUAAUCAGAAAGCCACGGCUAACUACGUG